AAAACCCAACCCUAGAUGUAUUAACAGAAAUGCAAAAAAUGGGUUAAAUUUGCGUCGGUAUUAACUUGAAGAAAAGUCGAUAGUCGGCAGAGAACCUUAAGCAUAAGCAGCGGCAGCAGCAGCAGGUCCAUAGAAGAAGCCAUGGGACUGAUAAACAAAGCUGGAGAUUUGACAUUUAAAGCUUUCACCUUGGGUUUAGGCGUCGCCACCAUUUAUCUCGGCGCUACCUUUUCCGUCAACGUUUACCGUGGUCUCGCAUGGCAUAACGCCCAAUCGAAAUCCGAGCAUGAUGGGACUCCUGAUCAGAAGUAGUACAUCAAUUAUAUUGUGACUUCUCCAGUCUUUACGGUUAAGUCAUCAAGCUUCCUUAACUUGAAGCAUCCCUCUUUGAUUCUACCAUUCUGUUCAUUUCAGAAAUGCCAAAUUUACGCUCAUAUGUCGUUUUAUUUUUUUAAGACUUGAUUUAGAUGGUUUAUCAUAUGGUUUUUGUUAUUUGACAUAUAGUUGUUUUGAACAUCACAAAUAUUAAAGCAGAUAAAGCUGUUACAAUAAUUUGAAUUUCUUAUCUGUCA
Long non-coding RNA from Helianthus annuus (common sunflower), 572 nucleotides. RefSeq lists it as uncharacterized. The record is from RefSeq and is a predicted model, not a curated record. NCBI's taxonomy places the organism in Eukaryota, Viridiplantae, Streptophyta, Magnoliopsida, Asterales, Asteraceae. The transcript has 2 exons.